GACGAACGCUGGCGGCGUGCUUAACACAUGCAAGUCGAACGGAAAGGCCCUGCUUUUGUGGGGUGCUCGAGUGGCGAACGGGUGAGUAACUCGUGAGUAACCUGCCCUUGACUUUGGGAUAACUUCAGGAAACUGGGGCUAAUACCGGAUAGGAGCUCCUGCUGCAUGGUGGGGGUUGGAACGUUUCGGCGGUUGGGGAUGGACUCGCGGCUUAUCAGCUUGUUGGUGGGGUAGUGGCUUACCAAGGCUUUGACGGGUAGCCGGCCUGAGAGGGUGACCGGCCACAUUGGGACUGAGAUACGGCCCAGACUCCUACGGGAGGCAGCAGUGGGGAAUAUUGCACAAUGGGCGGAAGCCUGAUGCAGCAACGCCGCGUGCGGGAUGACGGCCUUCGGGUUGUAAACCGCUUUCGCCUGUGACGAAGCGUGAGUGACGGUAAUGGGUAAAGAAGCACCGGCUAACUACGUG
Molecule: ribosomal RNA, 468 nt
Filed under: uncultured bacterium
Lineage: Bacteria
Description: partial 16S ribosomal RNA
Rfam family: Bacterial small subunit ribosomal RNA
Source: RNAcentral